AUGACGCACAGUGCUGGCGCAAGUCGUCUUGCGCCAGGCGACUGGGUCUGAGGAGGCAGGAGUUAUUCAUUCCCUUAAGCUUUCAGGCCGGGGGGAGAAUCUUUCAGGUGGUAGCUGCAAGAACUCUUAGUAUGUUGACCUCACCUCUGCCUUCCACAUACCACUACCAGUGAGGAAUUAGGAAUGCAUGAGAAGAGUGUCCAAGAAGAGUGUCCUCAUUCAUGCAAGGCUUAAGAGAGAAUGCAGGUCAACAUCACCAUGUCAAUCAGAGGUGCAGAUGCUGAGAGCACUUUCUAGUCAAGUCCUGCAUGUUCAUUUCUGUCUCAAGUCAGCUUCUCUGAGAAUCCAAUUUAUAAAAAUAUAUUUGUGAAUGUAUAAGUAAAGUGACUUGGAUUUUGUCUACGUACAAGGACUUCUAUGCCUGCAUAAAACAGGAAAGAGAUCUUCAUGUAAACAGAGUCCCUCUUAUUGGCUGAAGUGAAGAGUCAUUCUGAGGAGGAUCUGAAAAUGUAGAGGUGAGACGCUAAUGGCAGAGUGGCCUCAGCUUUCACCAGGUUUUGAAAACAUCUGUGAGGGAGGCACCAAAUUCACUGUCCUGCAGCUUUGACUUCCCAAUCCUCGUUGCCUCGUGCUGCCAGCCUGUAUGCUGGUAGAAGUGUGUUCCUGGGAACAUCCUGGCAUCUUGUGUUAGGACUACACUGGUGCAUGGGACAGAUCACGCUCAAGAAGGUCGAUGUAAUUUGAAAAACAGAUGGGCUCUGCUUUGUGAAAACUCCAAGCAUAUGAAGUCUAACUUGAAUAAAAGGCAUCUCAAGAUGAAGGUUUCCUAUUUGUGAUUAUGAAAAAAAUGUCAAGAACAAGUCCCUUGGUGUUCUUAGACCAAAGUCAGAACAACAGACCUACUGUUGUGAAGAGCAAAAGAACUGAGGUCAUAUUCUUUGAGUAUUUGAAAGCUAUGACAUGAUUCAGCAAUAAAGCAGCUCAUAUCAUCAGUGAGUAAGUAUAAUUUCCAUAUUUUUGUAUUUUCACUUUAAUUUUACUCUUUACUGUAGACAAAAAUGUUAGCCAAUAAUCAUGUCUCCGCUAUACUCAUUUAUCAAUUGUAACCAUAGGUUGACUGUGGGGACAAGGGCUGAGAAGGAAAUCAAUGAAAGUAUUAUGUGAGAAUCAAUUAACUCUAUGGAAUUUAUAAUAAAUACUGAAUAUCUUAUUAUUAUUUGCAAAUUGUGUGCAACAUAUCCUUUAUAUCAGUAAAAUUUGUAGCAAACAUCUAUGUGUAUAUAUACAUCCUUUUUUUUUUCCUCGAGAACCAGUUGUUAAACUUACACUAGCAUGCUACCACCUACCUCCACACCUUUCUUCAAAAGAUCUUUAUCCCCUGACUCACUCUCUUUUCUCCAUAUUCCUGAUAAGGCUGUUCUUCCAGAAGCCAGAGGAAAGCCCUUUGUUAUAGUCUUUACAGGUUAGCCUUCCACACCUCUUGGAGAAGAAUG
This 1493-nucleotide long non-coding RNA is filed under the name Homo sapiens (human). RNAcentral describes it as "HSALNT0401811". Lineage: Eukaryota; Metazoa; Chordata; Mammalia; Primates; Hominidae. The record is from RNAcentral.